This 176-nucleotide unclassified non-coding RNA is filed under the name uncultured Stachybotryaceae. RNAcentral describes it as "sequence contains ITS2". Lineage: Eukaryota; Fungi; Ascomycota; Sordariomycetes; Hypocreales; Stachybotryaceae. The record is from RNAcentral.
CAACCCUCAGAGCCCCCUGCUUGCAGGUGCGGCGCUGGUGUUGGGGAUCGGCCCGCCUCCGCGCGGUGCCGUCCCCCAAAUACAGUGGCGGUCUCGCUGCAGCCUCCCCUGCGUAGUAGCAACACUCGCAUGCGGAGCGCGGCGCGGCCACGCCGUAAAACCCCCGACUUUCUGAA